This 2958-nucleotide long non-coding RNA is filed under the name Canis lupus familiaris (dog). RNAcentral's name for it is "lncRNA (ENSCAFG00040016426.1)". The record is from RNAcentral. Lineage: Eukaryota; Metazoa; Chordata; Mammalia; Carnivora; Canidae.
CGUUAUGGCUUCCUGGGGUUCAUCACCUCUUGGCUCUGAUUUCCUCUGUCAAAUGAGAGAUCUUACCUUGAUGAGUAGUCUUUACUAGUGAUUUAAAAAAUAUAAUCAAACAGCAUAACCGGAUUGCAUUUUUCCAAGAAGGCUGUAACCAGACCUCCCAUAUAACGGGCUGCUCUUGUGAUGUGAGAUUGUCGCUUAUCCCCUCAAGAUGUGGGGUCUAGAUUACCUUUUAUUGCAUAUGGAUCGGUUCGUGAAUGUUGCAAAGUGACUCUAUAUGACUUUUGGGUCUAGGUCAUAGAAGGUGAUAUGGCUACUGUCUGUCUUCUUGGGAUGCUUUCCCUUGGAACCUACCCAUCACGCCAUGGGGAGGGCCGAGCAAGCUGUGGAGGGGAACCCCAUCUCGGUGACAGCUGGCUCCCCGGGCAGCACACAUCUUCAGAGAGAUUUUAUUUAUUCAUGAGGGACACAGAGAGAGGAGGCAGAGACACAGGCAGAGGGAGAAGCAGGCUCCCUGCAGGGAGGGGAGCCUGAUGUGGGACUCGAUAGACUCCAGGAUCAUACCCUGAGCUGAAGACAGAAGCUCAACCCCUGAGCCACCCAGGUGUCCCCUGGCCUGUAUUUUGAAGAAGAAUCCGAGCACAUGGGGCCUCUUCAUUUGCCCCACCCACCCCUCAGUGUAAAGAAGAGGGUACUUGGGGUCGGGGAGAGGCAGAAGCAAAGGCACAUGGUGGAAACAUGAAAGGCAUGCUCAGGGCUGGUUGCAAUGUGGAGGGAAAAACAAUAGAUUAUGGUAAAUACAAGUGGAAAGUGGAUCAGGGCCUUGAAUUUGGGGAGCUUAAAAAUAAUGUUAAGGCAGACACUUUUUACUUAAUUCUUACCCUUUUGCCCUCAGGGAUUGCCCAAAUUUGGGGUUGAGCAGUGUAAAGCAGCUAUCUGCUUAAGUACCCCAAGGAGCCUGCUGGAAGGCAAUGGGAGCUGGCAAUCAGUAGACCCCAAGCUCUGGAGGUGGCAACAGGUGUCCUGACCACCUCUGGCUAUGGAAAGAACCCAGUGGUGGCCCCAGGUGAUAGAUCCCAGGUGGUGAUCCCAGGUGGUUGCCUCUGCUUCUCUGUCCCUAUGAAUCAGAGGUUGCUCUAGUUCCACUGUCCCUUUCCCUCCCUGCCUGCCCCACCUUCAUGGCCUCUGGGGUAUUAGACGAGCCUGCAUAAUUUUGUGACUUCAGAAGGUGGAAGACAGAGGAAUGAGAGCUAUCCUGCCAGCAGGGUUUGGCUAGGGUGAGCUUGCUGCUGAGUAUGGAUGAAUCCAGAAGCCAAUAGCCCCCUGGGAAAUGUGUUAGGUAUCGGUCAUACCUAUCACACACAUUCAAAAAAUGCUCUUACUUUGGUUUGCAGCAUAGACAUCUCUUGGUGUAGUGCAAGUUCAGCAAAUUACUGAGGAUGUAGAUGCCUCUUUUAUUGCAGUUAAUCAGAUUAUAUUGACUGAUUAAAUAGGAUUUGUUAAUAACAUUCACUUAUGGGCAGUGGAGAGUUUAUUAAUAAGUCAUUAUGUUGGGAACUUUAAAUACCUAGCAUUCAAAAGCAAUCCCAAAUGCUUUUGUAUUGCAAACUUGUGGACUGUCUAAGAAAAUAGCCUAUGCCCCGUGUGUUGCAUUCCUACAGUGCUCAAAGACAGGGCUGAAAAAAACCUCAGAAAUGUGUCCCAAGCCUUUACAAAGUAAGCUAUUGCUUUGCUCUGAAAGGUGUAUUUUUCCAAUUUUGCUUAGUGUUUUUUCCUAACCUUUCUUUAGAAGAGUUGCAGUCUUAACUGUUUUUUGGUGAAGAAUUGCAUAAUAAACAACAGAGGCUCCUCUGGUUGGCAGUUGGAUAUUGUGGCCUGUUCUUCCCAUUUUAUUUUAUUAAGACUGAUUUAUUUAUUUAUUUAUUUAUUUAUUUAUUUAUUUAUUUAUUUGAAAGAAGGAGAGAGCAGGGAGAGGGCCAGAGAGGGAGGGAGAGAGAGCAUCCUGGAGCAGACUCCCCACUGAGCAUGGAGCCUGAUGCAGGGCUCGAUCUCACUAUUCUGAGAUCAUGACCUGAGCCAAAACCAAGAGCCAAAUGCUCAACCAACUGAGCCACCUGGGCACCCCAGUUCUCCCCAGUUUAGAGACAGAACACCUGCGGCACACAAGAAAUUGUUUGCCUAAUAUGCCCUUUCACACAGAGAGGAAAUGAGUCAAGGAACUGAGUGAGUAGAUUGGAAUCCUGAGGCCUUGACCCCCAGCCUUCCCCAUGAUUUUCCCAGUUUAAUCAAUUCCAUAGAUGUCCAUGGCCAACGGCAGCAACUGACUUGGUAUGUGAUGACUGGUCACAAGCUGUGAAGCCAGAAGGGGUUGGGGUCCUGGGUUUUCUAUGUGGUGAAUUUGGUCUAGCUUUGUGACUCAGUGUCCUCAUGUGUCCCCACCUGAUUGUGUUUUAGGAUUAAAUGAGUUAUUACAUGUAAAAUGUUUAGGACAGAGCCUGGUACAUAUUAGGAACUCAGUACAUGGCAGUUAAUAUAACACAUAUGGUUCCCGUUACAGCUGGGAGGAACCAGAGCAUCAGGGAUGUAUCUUUCCUGAGAGCGCCUGCCUUUAGGAAAUGAUAUACCAAUAUCCAUUUACUGUGUGGAGGUGGGUGAAGAACAUGAACAUAUAAAAAAAACUUGCAAGGGCACAUGAGGUAUGGGAGCCAGGUGUCAUGUACUCGAAUGCAUUCAAAGCCAGGCAGGCUACUUAAGCAAGAGAAGUGGAGGGUGAAACAAGGCAUGUGGGAGCCUGAGACACGGAGAAAUGCCGGUCUGUCUAAAGACAUUCAAAUUCACUUUUAAAAACACUCUGUGGGCUAUCCCAAUACAUUUAAAGGGCUAUAUCAUUCCCAGAGGCUGAUGUAAUUCAUGAGUUUUGACGUGAACAGGCAAAUAGGAUGAGUUAAAGCCAAUGAGAGA